RNAcentral lists this small RNA (438 nucleotides) under Pan troglodytes (chimpanzee). Its description in RNAcentral is "processed transcript". The record is from RNAcentral. Lineage: Eukaryota; Metazoa; Chordata; Mammalia; Primates; Hominidae.
AAGAAGAUACUUACACCAUGCCCUCAAAAAGCUAUGGAAUAGAUGAAGCCAGGGAUUAUGAGAUUCAAAGAGAAAGAAUAGAACUUGGACGAUGUAUUGGAGAAGGCCAAUUUGGAGAUGUACAUCAAGGCAUUUAUAUGAGUCCAGAGAAUCCAGCAUUGGCGGUUGCAAUUAAAACAUGUAAAAACUGUACUUCGGACAGCGUGAGAGAGAAAUUUCUUCAAGAAGCCUGCCUUAAGCUCCCUGGGGAUAAGGACCAUGUUUGUUUCGCUCACCACUCCAUACUCAGUGUCCUGCACAGUACUUGACACCUAGAGAACACCUGGUAGAUGUUUGUCAUUCUGGUGUCCUUCAUUAUGUGUGCAUCAAAUGAAUGCCUUCUGUUUUCCAUUGUAAUAAAUACCACCCAACAGUCCAAUAAAUUAAUAAUUCAUAGAG